AGUGAACGCUGGCGGUAGGCCUAACACAUGCAAGUCGAACGGCAGCACAGUAAGAGCUUGCUCUUACGGGUGGCGAGUGGCGGACGGGUGAGGAAUACAUCGGAAUCUACUUUUUCGUGGGGGAUAACGUAGGGAAACUUACGCUAAUACCGCAUACGACCUACGGGUGAAAGCAGGGGAUCUUCGGACCUUGCGCGAUUGAAUGAGCCGAUGUCGGAUUAGCUAGUUGGCGGGGUAAAGGCCCACCAAGGCGACGAUCCGUAGCUGGUCUGAGAGGAUGAUCAGCAACUCGGAAACUAGGAACGGGUCCAACACCCUAAGGGAGGCAGCGGGGGGAAAUUUUGGGCAAGGGGCGGAAGCCAGUCCCAGCCAAACCGGGGGGGUGAAAAAGGCCUUGGGGUUGUAAAGCCUUUUUGUGGGGAAAGAAAAGCAGCAGGUUAACCCCCCGGUUUUUUACCGGUCCCAAAAAAAAAACCCCCGGUAACUUUGGG
This 491-nucleotide ribosomal RNA is filed under the name uncultured bacterium. RNAcentral describes it as "partial 16S ribosomal RNA". It matches the Rfam family "Bacterial small subunit ribosomal RNA", at positions 29 to 507 of the family's 1533-position model. The record is from RNAcentral.